RNAcentral lists this ribosomal RNA (254 nucleotides) under uncultured bacterium. RNAcentral describes it as "partial 16S ribosomal RNA". It matches the Rfam family "Bacterial small subunit ribosomal RNA", at positions 524 to 776 of the family's 1533-position model. The record is from RNAcentral.
CACGUAGGCACCAAGCGUUGUCCGGAUUUAUUGGGCGUAAAGAGCUCGUAGGCGGUUCGGUAAGUCGGGUGUGAAAACUUUGGGCUCAACCCAAAGCCUGCACCCGAUACUGCUGUGACUCGAGUCCGGUAGGGGAGUGGGGAAUUCCUGGUGUAGCGGUGGAAUGCGCAGAUAUCAGGAGGAACACCGGUGGCGAAGGCGGGUCUCUGGGCCGAUACUGACGCUGAGGAGCGAAAGCGUGGGGAGCGAACAGG